UACAAGGUUCCCGGAUAAAAGUCACGGAAUGGGAGUGAUUCCUUCCGCGGUGAACACUUAUCGAAGCCUUGGAAUGCGGCCUCGCAAGAGGUAAGCCUGGCGACUAAUAAACAAUUCAGGCCUCGCGCAAGUCAGCCCCCAGCCGGGCCGGCGACACUUUCGAAUUGCGGGGACAUCCUUAGAGCUUAGGCCUACCAAACCGGAGGGGAAACCCGCCGGCGGCCCGUGUUAACGGCACGGGGUACGGUAAGAAGGGCCUGAGAUUGGACAAUCCGCAGCCAAGUCCCUAAGGGCGGCACGGCCGCCUACGGGAAAGGUUCACAGACUAAGUGGAAGUGGGUAGGGGCCUGCCCGGCCCCUGCUUAAGAUAUAGUCGGGCCCCGAGGGAAACCUCGGGGGGAAGUUCACCGCUUCAGAGCCGUUCCGUAGGUGAACCUGCGGAAGGAUCAUUACCGAGUUCCGGGCCCCAGUGGCCCGCUCUCCAACCUUUUUAAAACCCAACUCAGUGAAAUGUACCGUCUGAUCAGAUAUUCAAAUAUCUUAAAACUUUCAACAACGGAUCUCUUGGUUCUGGCAUCGAUGAAGAACGCAGCGAAAUGCGAUAAGUAAUGUGAAUUGCAGAAUUCAGUGAAUCAUCGAAUCUUUGAACGCACAUUGCGCCCCUUGGUAUUCCGGGGGGCAUGCCUGUUCGAGCGUCAUUGCAACCCUCAAGCUCUGCUUGGUAUUGGGCGUCGUCCCGCGGCGGACGUGCCUCAAAGGCCUCGGCGGCGGCUUUCCGGCCUCAAGCGUAGUAACACACGAUUCUCGCUUUGGAGUCUGGGAGGUCGCCCGCCGGACGAACCCUUUUGUCUUCUCUUUUUUUAAAGGUUGACCUCGGAUCAGGUAGGGAUACCCGCUGAACUUAAGCAUAUCAAUAAGCGGAGGA
Molecule: ribosomal RNA, 925 nt
Filed under: Kellermania micranthae
Lineage: Eukaryota; Fungi; Ascomycota; Dothideomycetes; Botryosphaeriales; Planistromellaceae
Description: eukaryotic LSU rRNA
Rfam family: 5.8S ribosomal RNA (bases 545-698)
Source: RNAcentral